GCGCAGCUUGGUAGCGCGUUUGUUUUGGGUACAAAAUGUCACAUGUUCAAAUCCUGU
This 57-nucleotide transfer RNA is filed under the name Triticum aestivum (bread wheat). Lineage: Eukaryota; Viridiplantae; Streptophyta; Magnoliopsida; Poales; Poaceae. The record is from Rfam by way of RNAcentral.